CUAACUAUCAAGCAGGCUUAGAUCAAGUGUAGUAUCUGUUCUUUUCAGCUUAAUCUCUGAAACGGCUCUCCGGAGCCUGUUUUCUUGGUUAAUCUUAUUUUUGUUUGCCCAGGGACCAAGCCUCUGGCUCGCUACGCUUGGUCCCACCGUGUCGCUGGUAUUGCACUGUCUCCAGCUGACGCGAAGUUGU
Tuber melanosporum (Perigord truffle) is the source of this 190-nucleotide small nuclear RNA. It matches the Rfam family "U2 spliceosomal RNA". From Rfam's summary of the family: U2 is a small nuclear RNA (snRNA) component of the spliceosome (involved in pre-mRNA splicing). Complementary binding between U2 snRNA (in an area lying towards the 5' end but 3' to hairpin I) and the branchpoint sequence (BPS) of the intron results the bulging out of an unpaired adenosine, on the BPS, which initiates a nucleophilic attack at the intronic 5' splice site, thus starting the first of two transesterification reactions that mediate splicing. NCBI's taxonomy places the organism in Eukaryota, Fungi, Ascomycota, Pezizomycetes, Pezizales, Tuberaceae. The record is from Rfam.